CAGAGGUUAAACUCUAUUUAUCAACUUAAAGCCUUCAGCUGUUCUCCAAUUUAGAAAGAGGUGUUUGUAUGAGAGGGCAAAGUCUGAAGUUAUUGUUGGGUUGUUUUAGGCAAGCUUUCACAUUGAUUCUGGUGCAACAUAAGGUUAAGGCAGUGAAUUUUCUGAGACCUGAUACUGAGACACGGAAAGCUGUCUCUCCUGUUUCCCUCAUCUACACAAGCUGUGACUUAAAGAGCAGAAAAAGCAGUGAGCCUGUGCUUUCCAUGCUGCUGAGCCUAACUGGUCCCUUACCUCUUUUUCUGCAAUCGUGCCAUGUGUGUUUUCCCUUGAUGUUUCUAUGGAAGCUGUGCCUCCAGUUUGUUGCUGGUAUUUUUGGAAUUAUUUUGCUGACUGCUUCCUCUAGGAUGCUCGGAUAG
This 416-nucleotide long non-coding RNA is filed under the name Anser brachyrhynchus (Pink-footed goose). RNAcentral describes it as "lncRNA (ENSABRG00000001507.1)". The record is from RNAcentral. Lineage: Eukaryota; Metazoa; Chordata; Aves; Anseriformes; Anatidae.